UUUAAUUCGAUGAUACGCGAGGAACCUUACCUGGGCUUAAAUGCAUAAUGACAGACUGGGAAACCAGUCCUUCUUCGGACAGAAUGCAAGGUGCUGCAUGGUUGUCGUCAGCUCGUGCUGUGAGGUGUCGGGUUAAGUCCCAUAACGAGCGCAACCCCUAUUCUUAGUUGCCAGCGGAUAAUGCCGGGGACUCUAAGGAAACUGCCCGCGCAAGCGGUGAGGAAGGUGGGGAUGACGUCAAAUCAUCAUGCCCCUUAUGAUUUGGGCUACACACGUGCUACAAUGGACAAUACAAAGGGCAGCGAAACCGCGAGGUCAAGCAAAUCCCAUAAAGUUGUUCUCAGUUCGGAUUGUAGUCUGCAACUCGAC
This 369-nucleotide ribosomal RNA is filed under the name Thalassiosira minuscula. Its description in RNAcentral is "partial Bacterial small subunit ribosomal RNA". It matches the Rfam family "Bacterial small subunit ribosomal RNA", at positions 945 to 1316 of the family's 1533-position model. Lineage: Eukaryota; Bacillariophyta; Thalassiosirophyceae; Thalassiosirales; Thalassiosiraceae. The record is from RNAcentral.